UACGGAGGGUGCGAGCGUUGUCCGGAAUCAUUGGGCGUAAAGGGCGCGUAGGUGGCCCGGUCAGUCCGUGGUGAAAGCGCGGGGCUCAACCCCGCGUCGGCCAUGGAUACUGCUGGGCUUGAGCACUGUAGAGGCAGGCGGAAUUCCGGGUGUAGCGGUGGAAUGCGUAGAGAUCCGGAAGAACACCGGUGGCGAAGGCGGUUCUCUGGGAAUGUCCUGACGCUGAGGAGCGAAAGUGUGGGGAGCGA
This 248-nucleotide ribosomal RNA is filed under the name uncultured bacterium. Its description in RNAcentral is "partial 16S ribosomal RNA". It matches the Rfam family "Bacterial small subunit ribosomal RNA", at positions 524 to 771 of the family's 1533-position model. The record is from RNAcentral.